CCUACGGGAGGCAGCAGUGAGGAAUAUUGGUCAAUGGACGAGAGUCUGAACCAGCCAAGUAGCGUGAAGGAUGACUGCCCUAUGGGUUGUAAACUUCUUUUAUAUGGGAAUAAAAUGUCCUACGUGUGGGAUUUUGCAUGUACCUUAUGAAUAAGGAUCGGCUAACUCCGUGCCAGCAGCCGCGGUAAUACGGAGGAUCCGAGCGUUAUCCGGUUUUAUUGGGUUUAAAGGGUGCGCAGGCGGAUUUGUAAGUCAGCGGUCAAAUCGCGGGGCUCAACCCCAUCCAGCAGUUGAAACUGGGGGUCUAGAGUGUGCGAGAGGUAUGCGGAAUGCGUGGUGUAGCGGUGAAAUGCAUAGAUAUCACGAAGAACCCCGAUUGCGAAGGCAGCUUGCUGAACUGUGACUGACGUUGAUGCUCGAAAGUGUGGGUAUCGAACAGGAUUAGAUACCCUAGUAGUC
This 459-nucleotide ribosomal RNA is filed under the name uncultured bacterium. Its description in RNAcentral is "partial 16S ribosomal RNA". It matches the Rfam family "Bacterial small subunit ribosomal RNA", at positions 338 to 795 of the family's 1533-position model. The record is from RNAcentral.